This 301-nucleotide ribosomal RNA is filed under the name uncultured bacterium. Its description in RNAcentral is "partial 16S ribosomal RNA". It matches the Rfam family "Bacterial small subunit ribosomal RNA", at positions 509 to 807 of the family's 1533-position model. The record is from RNAcentral.
CAGUAGCCGCGGUAAUACGUAGGUGGCAAGCGUUGUCCGGAAUUAUUGGGCGUAAAGGGCUCGCAGGCGGUUUCUUAAGUCUGAUGUGAAAGCCCCCGGCUCAACCGGGGAGGGUCAUUGGAAACUGGGAAACUUGAGUGCAGAAGAGGAGAGUGGAAUUCCACGUGUAGCGGUGAAAUGCGUAGAGAUGUGGAGGUACACCAGUGGCGAAGGCGACUCUCUGGUCUGUAACUGACGCUGAGGAGCGAAAGCGUGGGGAGCGAACAGGAUUAGAUACCCCUGUAGUCCCUGUCUCUUAUAC